This 354-nucleotide long non-coding RNA is filed under the name Durio zibethinus. RNAcentral's name for it is "long non-coding RNA (DZIB_LNC001305)". Lineage: Eukaryota; Viridiplantae; Streptophyta; Magnoliopsida; Malvales; Malvaceae. The record is from RNAcentral.
CAGGAAUUGUGCAAAGACGUAAACACCCUGCUCAUGGGCAUCCCAACAAAUUUAUGCUUUUUUUUUAACAAAACUCCUCCAAAUAGAAGCAAUAGACUUUAAAAAUAAAUGGUUCCUCUGAAUAGAGGCAACAGACUUUGAAAAUAAAUGACUUCUCUGAAUAGAGGCAACGAACUUUGAAAAAUAACGAACUUUGAAAAAUAAAUGGCUCAUUUGAAUAAAGGCAAUGGACUUUGAAAAAUAAAUGGCUCCUCUGAAUAGAGGCAACGGACUUUGAGAAUAAAUAAAUACUCCUUAACAAUCAUGUCCAAAGGAAUCAAAGAUCAUGUUUUAAGGAAUUUCAAGAAAUUAUGC